Molecule: ribosomal RNA, 314 nt
Filed under: uncultured bacterium
Lineage: Bacteria
Description: bacterial SSU rRNA
Rfam family: Bacterial small subunit ribosomal RNA
Source: RNAcentral
GAUGAACGCUAGCUACAGGCUUAACACAUGCAAGUCGAGGGGCAGCAUGAAGUUUGCUUGCAAACUUUGAUGGCGACCGGCGGAUGGGUGAGUAACGCGUAUCCAACCUGCCCCCUUCCCGGGCACAGCCCUUGGAAACGAGGAUUAACUCCCGAUGGUGUCAGUCAGGCGCAUGCCUUUCUGACCAAAUGUUUAAGGAAGGGGAUGGGGAUGCGUCCCAUUAGCUUGUUGGCGGGGUAACGGCCCACCAAGGCUCCGAUGGGUAGGGGUUCUGAGAGGAAGGUCCCCCACACUGGAACUGAGACACGGUCCAG